GUGAAAGCAAUGGAAGAUCAAACGAUGCCAAUAAAUAUUUGGAAUCUUGCUUUCAACCUUUUUAAGGUUAGCAUUCAGUAACCCCCCUUCCCCCAACCCUUACCAGUUACCAACCCUAACUCACUACAACUCUCCAACGGCGCAGCAGCACACCCUCCCUCGUCCCUCCCAUCACCCUCGAGCUAACCAUUCCUCUCAACGCCGGCGAGCUCAGUCCCUCCCUUUCGUUCAGCCGCCGGACUACUCCUGACGCCGUCGCCGGUUGCAGCUUCGAAGCUCACUCGGUCCCUCACUCAGCUAACGUCUCAGACUCUCAGCAGUGGAAGCAUAGUCGCCGGGCUCGCCUCCUGCCUCCGUCGCGAAGCUUUGUUCCACCUUCGCCGGCGCCAUCUCUGUUCCUGCCUCCGUCGCCAGCUCUCCGUUUCCAGCGCCGCCAUCCUUCUUUGCAUUUGAAACGGAGUGAUUAGAGGAUGUGGUAGGCAGCACUUGGCUGCAUAUGUCAACCUUGCAACCUUUUAUCUCAUUGAUUACCAAUAUCAUGUCUCCUUGGAUUUAAGACCAAUACGCAAUUCAAGGAAUAAGAAGAACAAGAAGAAAAAUUUAAUAAUUAAAAGAAUGCUUUGUAUUGUAAAGAUUGUUCUCGCACUUAAAGAGUAACUCAUACACCCCCACAAGUGGGGUGGGAUUCACAAGUGUCCUACAUAUGGCCAUGGCCUACUAUUGAAUAAUACUAUAGGUGUAUCUGAUACAUUCUAUCACCAAAAUAAAAAAAAAAAUU
Molecule: long non-coding RNA, 778 nt
Organism: Arachis stenosperma
Lineage: Eukaryota; Viridiplantae; Streptophyta; Magnoliopsida; Fabales; Fabaceae
Exons: 3
Source: RefSeq, a predicted model, not a curated record